This 1884-nucleotide ribosomal RNA is filed under the name Lamproderma columbinum. RNAcentral's name for it is "SSU rRNA". It matches the Rfam family "Eukaryotic small subunit ribosomal RNA". The record is from RNAcentral. Lineage: Eukaryota; Evosea; Eumycetozoa; Stemonitida; Stemonitidae.
CUAAAGACUAAGCCAUGCAUGCCUUCGAAUAAGAAAAAGCAAUUCUUUCUGAAUCUGCGAACGGCUCCGCAAACCAGUUGUAAACUAUAGCAAGCAAGCUUGGGGGGAAGGCCUUCGGGCUAACCUCCUGGGUUAGAUGGAUAACCGUGGUAAUUCUGUGGCUAAUACGUGACCGCAAACCUUGGGGCCCGGUUGCGGCUGGGUACCCUGAGGGACGUGUGAUCGAGGCCUGAGUUUUAACCGCCGGGAAAGGGUGCACGUCCAGACCGCUAUCAAAAGGGAUCCGAACCUUCUUUCCUUCGGGAGGGUGGGGACUGGCCCCGGCGGCUCUUGCUGUGUGCUUCUGACCUAUCAACUAGAUGGCAGCAUAAGGGACAUGCUUUGGUUACAACGGGUACAGAGGAUUAGGGUUCGAUCCUGGAGAGUGGGCCUGAGAGAUUGCUCAUACUUCUAAGGAAGGCAGCAGGCGCGCAACGUUCCCAUUGGGCAAUGCCCGAGGGCGUUAGGGGACAUAUGAAUGCCUGCCCAUUGGGUGGGCAAUUCAAAUGGGUCUGUUCUAAACAGGCUCUCGAGUAACAAUUAGAGGACAAGUCUGGUGCCAGCACCCGCGGUAAUUCCAGCUCUAAUAGCAUACGUUAAAGUUGUUGCGGUUAAAACGCUCGUAGUCGGCUACAGACCAUCAGAAGCCAGAACAGGGAUCUCGGGUCCGCUGCCUUUCGGGGUGCGCCGGGUGACCAGCGAUGGUGGGCGGUGGUCAAGUGUGCCCCCGACUGUAUCUUCGGAUUCACAGGGUUGGACCUGCACUGGGCUUGCCCUGCGGUAGGACCGGCUCGGUUAGGGCUGCCACUUACCAUGAUAAAACUGGGGUGAUUAAAGCAGGUCAAUCGACCUUAUACAGAUCAGCAUGGAAUAAAACAAGCCAAACAGCAAUUCUCACCUGCAGUGCUAAGCUGGCAGUAGCAAAAGGGGUGUUCGAGGGUGACCGAAUUGCCUGGGGAGUGGUGAAAUACGUUGAUCCAGGCAAGUCGACCAAAGGCGUAGGCAGUCAUCAAGGGCACGCCCGUUGAUCAAGAGCGAAAGUUAAGGGUUCGAAGACGAUCAGAUACCGUCGUAGUCUUAACUAUAAAUGAUACUAGCUAGAGAUGGGGUAAUGUCCAUCUCGACUCUUCCUGGAUCUUAGAGAAAUCAGAGUCUUUGAGUUCUGGGGGGAGUAUGGUCGCAAGGCUGAAACUUAAAGGAAUUGACGGAAGGGCACACAAAGAGUGGAACCUGCGGCUUAAUUUGACUCAACACGGGAAAACUCACCAGGUCCGGAUACACGGAUGAAGAACAAGCUGAAAGACUUUUUCCAAUGAUGUAAGUGGUGGUGCAUGGUCGUUCUUAGUUCGUGGAGUGAUUUGUCUGGUCUAUUCCGUUAACGAGCGAGACCCCGACGUUCCUAAUAGGGGCAGCAGCCCGGCUUGCCUGGCCCGCAAGGGCUGAGCUCGCUAGCAGCUGCCUCAAACAAUGCUUCUUAGACGUAUCCAAGCCGAUAAGGUUCUUGAAAUGGGUUAAUAACAGGUCAGUCAUGCCCUUAGAUGUUCUGGGCCGCACGCGCGUUACAAUGGCAUGUUAAAAGCGUGCCUAAAAGGGCGUUUCCGCGGCCUAUAGGCUGUGGUAACCCCUAAUCCCUGCCUUGACUGGGAUAGAUUAUUGCAAAUAUUGGUCUCCAACGAGGAAUUUUUAGUAGUCAUCGGUCAUUAACCUGUGACGAAUGAGUCCCUGCCCUUUGUACACACCGCCCGUCGCUGCUACCGAUUGGGCUUUGCGGUUACGAGUUCGGAGACUGUGGCUAUUGUCUGCCUUCGGGUAGGUAAGAACUGCGGUUGAAGUCCUAAUUACCGC